GAGGAACACCUAAACAACCCACCAAAUUCGUCGCUGCACACAGAGGCCUCUCCCAUACACACCCAAAAUCAGAUGAGCCAAAAAACCUGUCCAUCUUCUCCAAGAUAAAAAAAGAGUUUUCAAUUCCUAAUUGCAAACUUUUUUUCUAAUUCUCAAGUUUAGAAGAAGCAGCGGCACAUACACAAAGAGAAAGCAUCAAUCGUCCAAAUCCGUUACUCUUUUAGCCAUUGAUACCACCUAAAAACCCACCAUUUUGGUUCAAAACUGCAGCUGAAAUCCACCAUCUUAAAACACCCGAAAACAUCCCAAUUUUAGCUUAAAAAUAGUCUGAAAAUGGACAUUAAAACUCAGCAAGAAACACCGAUAAAAUAGUCCCACAACGUUCAAAAGCAACAACUAAAAAUGUUACCAGUUUUGCUGAAGAAACAGCUCAAGAAUUCUUCAUGAAUCCCGGUGAAUUUCU
This 463-nucleotide long non-coding RNA is filed under the name Nicotiana benthamiana. RNAcentral describes it as "long non-coding RNA (NBEN_LNC006920)". Lineage: Eukaryota; Viridiplantae; Streptophyta; Magnoliopsida; Solanales; Solanaceae. The record is from RNAcentral.